CUCAAAUGCAAUUUCAAAGUUCCUGAUGUGCUAAACUGCUUAAAACAAAUUUCACACUUGUGAGGUUUUUCUCCAGUGUGCACUCUCAAAUGUAUUUUCAAAUGACCUGCUUGAAUAAAUUGCUUAAAACAAAUUUCACACUUAUGAGGUUUUUCUCCAGUGUGCACUCUCAAAUGUAUUUUCAAAUGACCUGCUUGAAUAAAUUGCUUAAAACAAAUUUCACACUUAUGAGGUUUUUCUCCAGUGUGCACUCUCAAAUGUAUUUUCAAAUGACCUGCUUGAAUAAAUUGCUUAAAACAAAUUUCACACUUAUGAGGUUUUUCCCCAGUGUGCAAUCUCAAAUGUCUUUUCAAAUGA
This is a long non-coding RNA of Diabrotica virgifera virgifera (western corn rootworm), 357 nucleotides long. RefSeq lists it as uncharacterized. The record is from RefSeq and is a predicted model, not a curated record. Lineage: Eukaryota; Metazoa; Arthropoda; Insecta; Coleoptera; Chrysomelidae. The transcript is spliced from 3 exons.